This 26-nucleotide non-coding RNA is filed under the name Homo sapiens (human). Lineage: Eukaryota; Metazoa; Chordata; Mammalia; Primates; Hominidae. The record is from RNAcentral.
UCUGGAACAUCUUUGCCUACACCCUG